This 406-nucleotide ribosomal RNA is filed under the name uncultured bacterium. RNAcentral's name for it is "partial 16S ribosomal RNA". It matches the Rfam family "Bacterial small subunit ribosomal RNA", at positions 30 to 526 of the family's 1533-position model. The record is from RNAcentral.
AUUGAACGCUGGCGGCAGGCCUAACACAUGCAAGUCGAACGAGUGGCGGACGGGUGAGUAAUGUCUGGGAAACUGCCCGAUGGAGGGGGCUAACUACUGGAAACGGUAGCUAAUACCGCAUACCAUCGGAUGUGCCCAGAUGGGAUUAGCUAGUAGGUGGGGUAACGGCUCACCUAGGCGACGAUGCCUAGCUGGUCUGAGAGGAUGACCAGCCACACUGGAACUGAGACACGGCCCAGACUCCUACGGGAGGCAGCAGUGGGGAAUCUUCCACAAUGGGCGAAAGCCUGAUGCAGCAAUGCCGCGUGAAUGAAGAAGGUCUUCGGGUUGUAAAGCACUGUCAUCGAGGAGGCGUUAUCCGCAGAAGAAGCACCGGCUAACUCCGUGCCAGCAGCCGCGGUAAUUC